Molecule: ribosomal RNA, 492 nt
Filed under: uncultured bacterium
Lineage: Bacteria
Description: partial 16S ribosomal RNA
Rfam family: Bacterial small subunit ribosomal RNA
Source: RNAcentral
AGUGAACGCUGGCGGUAGGCCUAACACAUGCAAGUCGAACGGCAACACAGUAAGAGCUUGCUCUUACGGGUGGCGAGUGGCGGACGGGUGAGGAAUACAUCGGAAUCUACUUUUUCGUGGGGGAUAACGUAGGGAAACUUACGCUAAUACCGCAUACGACCUACGGGUGAAAGCAGUGGAUCUUCGGACCUUGCGCGAUUGAAUGAGCCGAUGUCGGAUUAGCUAGUUGGCAGGGUAAAGGCCCACCAAGGCGACGAUCCGUAGCUGGUCUGAGAGGAUGAUCAGCCACACUGGAACUGAGACACGGUCCAGACUCCUACGGGAGGCAGCAGUGGGGAAUAUUGGACAAUGGGCGCAAGCCUGAUCCAGCCAUGCCGCGUGGGUGAAGAAGGCCUUCGGGUUGUAAAGCCCUUUUAUUGGGAAAGAAAAGCAGCAGGUUAAUACCCCGCUGUUCUGACGGUACCCAAAGAAUAAGCACCGGCUAACUUCGUG